AGAUAAGACGGUGUGCUUUUCGUGCCCGUCAUAUAGUGGCGUCGCUGCUUCAUGUAAUAACUCAUAGAAACCCUUAGCCCCGUCAUUCGGCUCUUGUUGUGUGCUACUGUCAUCCCUAUCUGUAUUCCACUGGAAGUAUGAACCAGCAGCUUCGACUAUCAUGUUAGUACAGUCAAAGGUUUCGUCACCUCUAGAUUCUGGUUCUGAUUCAUGUUCAUCUAACCAGGUUUCCCCAUGAUAGAUCCAUGU
Molecule: long non-coding RNA, 249 nt
Filed under: Panax ginseng (ginseng)
Lineage: Eukaryota; Viridiplantae; Streptophyta; Magnoliopsida; Apiales; Araliaceae
Description: long non-coding RNA (PGIN_LNC008020)
Source: RNAcentral